This is a long non-coding RNA of Motacilla alba alba, 338 nucleotides long. RefSeq lists it as uncharacterized. The transcript is spliced from 2 exons. The record is from RefSeq and is a predicted model, not a curated record. NCBI's taxonomy places the organism in Eukaryota, Metazoa, Chordata, Aves, Passeriformes, Motacillidae.
CGUUGGCUUCCUUGGAGCUGUGUGCGUCUGGACUGAGCGCCUGGACAGAGUCGGCUCUCAUUUUCUCUUGCCGUUGCUGCUGCUUGCCAUUCCAGCUAGGUGCCAUCCAGAUCCUCCAAGCUCAUUGCUGUUUUCAGUAAAUUCUUCUUAUCUCAACCAUGAUCUUCACCUUUUGGGCUUCCAGUUCUUCUCUCCAGCCAUGCUGCAGGAGUGAUGGGGUUGUAGAAGGGAGAGCAAGUGAGCAGCAUGGGGUUUGGAGUCUCAGUGAGAGCACUGAAUUUGGAAGUACCACUCUUAAACUGUGGCGGCGGUCUUGAAAUAAAAUAAAAAGUGGUGGA